This 1387-nucleotide long non-coding RNA is filed under the name Rattus norvegicus (Norway rat). Its description in RNAcentral is "long non-coding RNA NONRATT029713". The record is from RNAcentral. Lineage: Eukaryota; Metazoa; Chordata; Mammalia; Rodentia; Muridae.
CAAGGCAGGUCCAGUAGUAACCUGCAGGGCACAUCCAAACCCUGCCUCCUCUUCUCUUCAUGUAGCACUGAGUGCCUGACAAUCAUUACAGGUGAGCCUGUCUUCCCGGAGGCCCAGGUCUCUAAGUGGCCUAUGUUGGAACCUUCAGGGCUAAGAGAAGCAGACAGACGGAUGUGGAUGGAUCCCUGUGUAAGGAAACCAUCUUUUUCAACUCACCAUCUCAUGCUUUUUCUUUUUUUAACCAAAACCACCUUACUUAAGAAUCUUCCUCUUACAAAGAAUUUGGUGGGGAAAACUGCCAACUCAUAAGAAAUGCCAGACUAGUGUGUGCACCCAGUGAGGCUGGAAACAAACUUGCUCCCCACCCGAGGAUGGCUGCACUUUAAUUGGGUGUGGGGUGCUGUGGGUCCCCCUUCCAUGCUAGUUAUAGCUGCCCUCCUGGAGCAGCAAUCAGAAGACCAAUCCUACGAAGGCACAGUCCCAUCACCCCUUAGGUCCCAGGCCUUCCACAUCCACAGGGCACAGUACGUGAGCACACCCAGCGGAGGCAGGUUUAUUCAGUGUCAGUGAAACUGACUCCCAGCUUCAGCAGGUUACUGCAGCUUCUUGAACAAUCAAGGUGAUCUGAUCAGAUCUAACAUAAGAAGCUCAUCUGCUUCCAAUUCAUGACCAAAGUGGCCAGAGACUGAAAAUACCCUUCCGUCUGCUGGAAUUUCCCCUCACUAACAUGUCUGUUGUCCUGUGAUAGUUCUCCAUGUGGACAAAGUUCUUUCGAGACCGUUCUGUUACAUCCUCCUUAAACCACCCAGACUGCCUGUUGAAUCAGCUUCUGUAGUUAAACACCUAAAGACUAUGUUUAAAUGCCUGUAGGUUUUAUGUUUGGUUUGGUUUUGUAUAUAAAUGAUUGUGCGGCUGGGGACCAGGGAUGAACGAUGGUACACAUUCCGUUGUCUUUGCAUUACGGUUUGUGUGUAAGCUUUUUGUUUGGUCUGAGUGCUUUUGGUGAGUCCUCUAAAAUGCUAAAACUCCCCGAAAGCACAACCAUGCGGCCACACAAGUUAAGGUCCCUGGAAGUAGAGGGAAAUACAGGUGAGCGCUCAGAGUCCCACAGGCUACUCCGACGUCCUCAGGAGUCAGGCCCACUGAGACAGAAACAACUGUCAACUGGUGCCCAGGCUGCCCGCCCACCAUUCUCUGAGCGCAGGCCCACAGAGAGCGGGUACAGAAAUGAUUUUCUGAGUCAUUUCUCUGCUUGUCACUAGGAGGUGAGAUCAGUGGUGAGAGGAAGGGCCACCCUCAGUCACCAGUGGGCUAGGUGUGCCGUCUGUAAUUAGCACUUUGAGCCAAGCACCCCGGUGGCUCUCGGAGUUCCUCCAAUGCCAAUGGA